Molecule: unclassified non-coding RNA, 325 nt
Filed under: soil metagenome
Description: partial contains 5.8S ribosomal RNA, internal transcribed spacer 2, and large subunit ribosomal RNA
Rfam family: 5.8S ribosomal RNA (bases 1-120)
Source: RNAcentral
GAUGAAGAACGUAGCGAAAUGCGAUAAGUAAUGUGAAUUGCAGAAUUCAGUGAAUCAUCGAAUCUUUGAACGCACAUUGCGCCCCUUGGUAUUCCGAGGGGCAUGCCUGUUCGAGCGUCAUUAUAACCCCUCAAGCUCAGCUUGGUGUUGGGGCCUGCUGCACUGGCAGCCCUUAAAAUCAGUGGCGGCGCCAUCUGGCUCUAAGCGUAGUAAUUCUUCUCGCUAUGGAGUCCUGGUGGAUGCUUGCCAUCAACCCCCAAUUUUUCUAUGGUUGACCUCGGAUCAGGUAGGAAUACCCGCUGAACUUAAGCAUAUCAGCGGAGGA